GCUUAACACAUGCAAGUCGAGGGGCAGCAUGAACUUAGCUUGCUAAGUUUGAUGGCGACCGGCGCACGGGUGAGUAACACGUAUCCAACCUGCCGAUGACUCGGGGAUAGCCUUUCGAAAGAAAGAUUAAUACCCGAUGGCAUAGUUCUUCCGCAUGGUAGAACUAUUAAAGAAUUUCGGUCAUCGAUGGGGAUGCGUUCCAUUAGGUUGUUGGCGGGGUAACGGCCCACCAAGCCUUCGAUGGAUAGGGGUUCUGAGAGGAAGGUCCCCUACAUUGGAACUGAGACACGGUCCAAACUCCUACGGGAGGCAGCAGUGAGGAAUAUUGGUCAAUGGACGAGAGUCUGAACCAGCCAAGUAGCGUGAAGGAUGACUGCCCUAUGGGUUGUAAACUUCUUUUAUACGGGACUAAAGUGAGGCACGUGUGCCUUUUCGUAUGUACCGUAUGAAUAAGGAUCGGCUAACUCCGUGCCAGCAGCCGCGGUAAUACGGAGGAUCCGAGCGUUAUCCGGAUUUAUCGGGUUUACAGGGAGCGUAGGCGGACGCUUACGUCCAGUGUGAAAGUUUGCGGCUCAACCGUAAAAUUGCAGUUGAUACUGGGUGUC
Molecule: ribosomal RNA, 605 nt
Filed under: uncultured Bacteroidales bacterium
Lineage: Bacteria; Pseudomonadati; Bacteroidota; Bacteroidia; Bacteroidales
Description: bacterial SSU rRNA
Rfam family: Bacterial small subunit ribosomal RNA
Source: RNAcentral